CAGUAGCCGCGGGAAUACGAGGGGGGCAAGCGUUGUUCGGAAUUAUUGGGCGUAAAGGGCGCGUAGGCGGUUUGGCAAGUUUGGUGUGAAAUCUUCGGGCUCAACUCGAAGUCUGCAUCGAAAACUGCCGGGCUUGAGUAUGGGAGAGGUGAGUGGAAUUUCCGGUGUAGCGGUGAAAUGCGUAGAUAUCGGAAGGAACACCUGUGGCGAAAGCGGCUCACUGGACCAUUACUGACGCUGAGGCGCGAAAGCUAGGGGAGCAAACAGGAUUAGAUACCCCAGUAGUCCCUGUCUCUUAUAC
RNAcentral lists this ribosomal RNA (301 nucleotides) under uncultured bacterium. RNAcentral's name for it is "partial 16S ribosomal RNA". It matches the Rfam family "Bacterial small subunit ribosomal RNA", at positions 509 to 807 of the family's 1533-position model. The record is from RNAcentral.